Molecule: transfer RNA, 76 nt
Filed under: Nitella hyalina
Lineage: Eukaryota; Viridiplantae; Streptophyta; Charophyceae; Charales; Characeae
Description: tRNA-His
Rfam family: tRNA
About the family: Transfer RNA (tRNA) molecules are approximately 80 nucleotides in length. Their secondary structure includes four short double-helical elements and three loops (D, anti-codon, and T loops).
Source: RNAcentral
GGCGAAUAUAACUUAAUAGGUCAAAGUGUCAGAUUGUGAAUUUGAAAACACGGGUUCAACUCCCGUUAUUCGCCAC